CCGCGUCCCGGCUGGACCGUAAGGUAGAAGGUGCGGAAGCGCGGUUGAAUGGAAGAGGGGGACGGCCAGCGGCGGGGGGAAAGCAGGAGGGGAGGGGCAUGUUUCAAUUCUGCCCCUCCUCCUCCUCUUCUUCGUUGGUAGAAAGGUCUCUUCCAUCCCCCCCACCCCCUGCCCCAAUCAAGCCAUGCUGACCGCGGCUUGGUUGGUCAAAGGCAGCGCUUGGGGGUGGGGUCUUCUGCGGAGCGCGAGCCCGGGACGGUGUUUGGGGGCUACCGUAGCAGCCGCCGCGGCGAGGAGCCGAAGAGGUGGCGAGUGCUGGAGCGGCCCUCCAGCUAGGCUCGCGGCCUCGUCAAGCAGCCUCGCGGAGUGCCACUCCCCGUCUUUCCCGGGCACGGGUCGACGUCUGCUACUGCGCGUGCGUCCUCCCAGCCCCAAGCAUCUAGGCACUGCAUCUUGGGCGCCCCCUUUCGGUUGCUCCUCCGGCGGACCUGGGCAGCCUCACUGCUCGCGCGCCGGCUGCGGGGGCAACACCCGGCGCGCGGCGGAGUCCUCUGAACGACCUGAUGCUGGAAAAACAGAGCGUCGCGGAUACGCUGAACUGUAUGAAAACCCUUGGACUAUCCCUAAUCUACUUUCAGUGGCAAGGAUUGGUUUGGCCCCUAUUUUGGGCUAUUUGAUUAUUGAAGAAGAUUUUAAUGUAGCACUGGGGGUGUUUGCCCUGGCUGGAAUAACAGAUCUGUUGGACGGUUUUAUUGCACGAAACUGGGCCAAUCAGAAAUCUGCCUUGGGAAGUGCCUUGGACCCUCUGGCUGAUAAAAUCCUUAUCAGUAUCCUAUAUAUUAGCUUGACUUGUGCAAAUCUUAUUCCAGUUCCUCUUACAUCAAUGAUAAUUCUAAGGGACAUUACAUUAAUUGCUGCUGUUUUCUAUGUUCGAUACAAAACUCUUCCUCCACCGAAGACAUUAAGUAGAUAUUUCAAUCCAUGCUACGUCACUGCUCAGUUAAAACCAACAUUCAUCAGCAAGGUGAACACAGUAGUACAGCUCAUCUUAGUAGCAGCUUCUUUAGCUGCCCCAGUUUUCAAUUAUGUGGACAGUGUGUAUCUUCAGACUUUAUGGUGCAUCACAGCUUUCACAACAACUGCAUCUGCAUACAGUUACUAUCAUUAUGGUCGAAAAACAGUUCAGGUGCUAAACGAUAAAUGAAGUUUUGCAGAAUGACUGUUCUCCUCUCAUUCAAUUUGUGGGGAGUUUAUGCAGAGACUCUGAAUGAUACUUUUGCCUAUGCCUUCACGGUGUGAAAAUGAAGUUUUGAUCAUAAUUGGAUCAGACGUGCUUAAUGAUGUGCGAACAAAUAAUGUUUCACAUGUGGUAAGCAAUUACCUGAAUAUAAAAAUACCUGCUAAGCUGAAAAUAAUGUGAAAAUAUUGCAUUAAACAGCACAGUAGAAAUGGUUUUGCUGUAGAAACGAAGGGUGAGAGUCGGAAUGGUUGGAAUAUUCUAUGCAUUAUACAGUAUUUUUAAAACACAUUUUAUAUAUCUCAAUUUUAUAAAGUUUAUAUGCUGAAAAUAUUUUUUGAUAGUUUAUACAAAAUCAGGCUGCUGCAAUCUGAUUGUAUUGCGGUCUAUAAAGUUUUCCCCCUAUUUUAUCAAGAGAAAAUAGGCGAUAUGCUACAAAACCACAGAAUAUAUUAUAUUCCUUCAACCAGAUAAGCAUAAAUGUUUCCAAUGCCAAAAUGCAAGAAAUUUGAAAAUGAAUACUUAUGCAUGUUUGUCUACAGUCGUUGCCUUUGCACUUUCAAAAUAAAUCCUUUAAACUAC
Molecule: RNA transcript, 1819 nt
Organism: Crotalus tigris (Tiger rattlesnake)
Lineage: Eukaryota; Metazoa; Chordata; Lepidosauria; Squamata; Viperidae
Gene: CRLS1
Gene name: cardiolipin synthase 1
Exons: 8
Source: RefSeq, a predicted model, not a curated record